This 443-nucleotide ribosomal RNA is filed under the name uncultured bacterium. Its description in RNAcentral is "partial 16S ribosomal RNA". It matches the Rfam family "Bacterial small subunit ribosomal RNA", at positions 338 to 795 of the family's 1533-position model. The record is from RNAcentral.
CCUACGGGAGGCAGCAGUGGGGAAUAUUGGGCAAUGGGCGCAAGCCUGACCCAGCAACGCCGCGUGAAGGAAGAAGGCUUUCGGGUUGUAAACUACUUUUAUCAGGGACGAAGCAAGUGACGGUACUUGAUGAAUACGCCACGGCUAACUACGGGCCAGCAGCCGCGGUAAUACGUAGGUGGCAAGCGUUAUCCGGAUUUACUGGGUGUAAAGGGUGUGUAGGCGGGAGUGCAAGUCAGAUGUGAAAACUAUGGGCUCAACCCAUGGCCUGCAUGUGAAACUGUACUUCUUGAGUGCUGGAGAGGCAAUCGGAAGUCCGUGUGUAGCGGUGAAAUGCGUAGAUAUACGGAGGAACACCAGUGGCGAAGGCGGAUUGCUGGACAGUAACUGACGCUGAGGCGCGAAAGCGUGGGGAGCAAACAGGAUUAGAUACCCCAGUAGUC